RNAcentral lists this long non-coding RNA (561 nucleotides) under Heterocephalus glaber (naked mole-rat). RNAcentral's name for it is "lncRNA (ENSHGLG00100036354.1)". The record is from RNAcentral. Lineage: Eukaryota; Metazoa; Chordata; Mammalia; Rodentia; Bathyergidae.
GGCUAGUCCUAGGAAGUGCGCAUGCUCUACAGUCCCAAGCCCGGGACGCGGCUCCGAGCCUCCGGCUGAUGGAGAUGUGCUCGGUCCUCCCAGGAGUGGCAGAGGUUGGGUAUGAUUGUCCAUCGGGGCCGGAAGCCAGUGUCAUCACUGUGACGGCGUUGCCAGGGAACGAACUCGGGACCUUGGCGCUUGCAAGGCAGGCAGCGGAACCACUGAGUUAAUCCCCAGCCCCUGUUUUUUUUUUUUUUUUUUUUUGAGACUAUACUCUUAAGUGAAAUAAAUCGGACACACAUGUUUAGUCUCUUUUUUUUUGUAUCGGGCAUUGAACUCAGGACCUCACGCUUGCCAGGCAGGUGCUGUGCCGCUGAGCUUAAUCCCCGGCCCUGGACACACAUGUUUAGAUACGGCAUUGUUUUUCUGGUGUGAGAAACUGAAUGUGGAAAUAAGGACUGAGGUGUAUAAUGGAUGUUGGGAAAUGGGAAGAAAGUGUUCAAAUGGGCAGGGGAACAAGGGAGGAGGGAGGGAGAAAGGAAUAGAGGGACAAGAAAACAGUGAAAAUAG